RNAcentral lists this ribosomal RNA (214 nucleotides) under Orbiliales sp. RNAcentral's name for it is "partial large subunit ribosomal RNA". The record is from RNAcentral. Lineage: Eukaryota; Fungi; Ascomycota; Orbiliomycetes; Orbiliales.
AAGCGCUUGCCAUCAGAAUUGGGGUCGGUCGAUCAGCAUUCCUUCUGGUUUGUGCACUCGACCGGCAUCCGUGCCAGCACCGGUUGCGGCGGCACGAUAAAGACUCUGGGAAUGUGGCUCCUCUCGGGGAGUGUUAUAGCUCGGGGUGUCAUGGUGCCAGCCGCGACUGAGGACCGCGCCCUAGGCAAGGGUGCUGGCUUAAUGGUGUUAAGCG